RNAcentral lists this ribosomal RNA (228 nucleotides) under uncultured bacterium. RNAcentral describes it as "partial 16S ribosomal RNA". It matches the Rfam family "Bacterial small subunit ribosomal RNA", at positions 568 to 796 of the family's 1533-position model. The record is from RNAcentral.
UACGUAGGCGGAAAAUUAAGUCAGUAGUGAAAUCCUGCAGCUUAACUGUAGAACUGUUAUUGAUACUGGUUUUCUUGAAUAUAGUUGAGGUAGGCGGAAUGUGUAAUGUAGCGGUGAAAUGCUUAGAUAUUACACAGAACACCGAUUGCGAAGGCAGCUUACUAAGCUAUGAUUGACGCUGAGGUACGAAAGCGUGGGGAGCGAACAGGAUUAAUACCCUGGUAGUCC